RNAcentral lists this long non-coding RNA (813 nucleotides) under Calidris pugnax (ruff). RNAcentral describes it as "lncRNA (ENSCPUG00000015190.1)". Lineage: Eukaryota; Metazoa; Chordata; Aves; Charadriiformes; Scolopacidae. The record is from RNAcentral.
GUCGAACAAACACACGUCGGAAGCAGGCAGAAACACCGCGUUUCGCCUGCGGGGAGCCUCCAUUUCCAGAGACCGUUUCCUUACGGAAGGCCCUCGCGGCACACUCACAGGGCGCGCUUUAUCUGCAGGUCCCUGCUCCUCUCCCCCGCACGCACGGCCGGGAACAGCGAGCCGCUCUCCCCUGAAGGCUACUUUCCUCACGCAGGCCAGCCCCGCACUCACCACAGGAAACCCCGGCCGCCGAAACCCCUCUCGCUACGCCACCCGCACGGCUGCCUCGGCCGCGGGAGGAGCCCCGGCCCAAGCACGAACGGAGGAGCCCCCGGAGAAGCUCGGGCGGCAGCACGGCCCUGCGCCUCAGCGCGGCCUCCCCGCGCGGGCCGAGAAACCCCGCUUCCCCCGCCCGCGCCUGCAGCGACUCCCGCCGCCGCCAGGCCCUCAAGGCCNNNNNNNNNNCGCGGCGGCGGAUGGCGGCGGAUCCCCCGCGCCCGCGCCCAAACGCUCACCAUCUUGCCCGGCCGCCAGCACCAAAGAGACCGAGCUCCGCCCCACUUCCGCUAUGCUCGGGAGAGUGCUUCCGGGGGCGCCACCGCCGCUUCCGGCCCCGCCCCGGGCCGGGCCUGUCCUUGGCCGGGAGUCCCGCCGUUGGGCGGCCGCUUCUCGGCGGGCCCUGGGACAGACCGCUCCCCCCGGGGAAGUUACGUGAAGAGACAAAUUGAAGAAAUUUGUCUUUAUCUUUUCACCAGUUCAAAUCUUCAACACCAGUUUGACGUCAUCUCAAACAAGAUCUCAGAAAUCUGGAAGAUGCUGUGA